RNAcentral lists this long non-coding RNA (698 nucleotides) under Ananas comosus (pineapple). RNAcentral's name for it is "long non-coding RNA (ACOM_LNC017343)". The record is from RNAcentral. Lineage: Eukaryota; Viridiplantae; Streptophyta; Magnoliopsida; Poales; Bromeliaceae.
AUGACCCAGUUAAACCUCCUUUUGCAGUUUCACUAUAAUAAAAACGGUCUAUAGCGACACUUUUAAAUAUAGGUACAUAUCAAAAAAGUGCUGCUAGCUAAAAUUACCGACACUUUUAAAAAGUGUUGCUAUAUAUGGGGUCGCUAGGUAUAUAGUGACAGUUAAAGAGUGUCGCUAUAACCAAAAAGAGUGCUGCUAAUUUACCAACACUUAUUUAAGUAUUUAGCAACUGCUGAAACUCUAUCUCGUUGGCUGCGGUGGCGGAGGAGGACGACAGUAAAGACUCUUCAUCUAGAAUUUCAGUGGAUUGAGUGAAGAGAGAAGAAAAGAAGGUAAUUGAUUUUUCUUUUUUUUUUUUUCUUUUUUGUUUGUAAUCGGGCCAAAUGGACUGGGUGUAGUGGGUUGAGUAGAGUAAUCUUUUAUUUUUGGUUGGAUUGGGUUUUAUAUUUAAGUAUUAGUAGAUGUGUUUUUAAGUUUUAGCAUAAAUGGGACACUUACUCAAAAGUGUCGGAAACAUGUGUUCCUAUAACCUAAUUAUGUUGUAGUGUUUAAACUGUAGCAAUUGAAUAGUAAUGCAACAACCAAAAUAAUUAAUAAAAUUAAUAUUAAUUCUUUAUGUACUUAAAUCCAUAAUACAGUAAUAACUACAAACAAUCAAACAAUAGUAAUCCAAUCCCAUCAAAAUUAUCAAACUUUAU